RNAcentral lists this microRNA (23 nucleotides) under Heligmosomoides polygyrus. RNAcentral's name for it is "hpo-miR-10123-3p". The record is from miRBase by way of RNAcentral. Lineage: Eukaryota; Metazoa; Nematoda; Chromadorea; Rhabditida; Heligmosomidae.
UUUCGCUCACCCGAAAAUCCAGU